GUAGGGAGGCAGCGUUGUUCGGAUUUACUGGGCGUAAAGGGCGCGUAGGCGGCGUGUUAAGUCAGCUGUGAAAUCUCCGAGCUUAACUCGGAACGGUCAGCUGAUACUGAUGUGCUAGAGUGCAGAAGGGGCAAUCGGAAUUCUUGGUGUAGCGGUGAAAUGCGUAGAUAUCAAGAGGAACACCUGAGGUGAAGACGGGUUCCGGGCUGACACUGACGCUGAUGCGCGAAAGCCAGGGGAGCAAACGGGAUUAGAUACCCCGGUAGUCCUGGCCCUAAACGAUGAAUACUUGGUGUCUGGAGUUAUUAUUGCUCCGCGUGCCGUAGCUAACGCUUUUAGCAUUCCGCCUGGGGAGUACGCUCGCAAGGGUG
This 371-nucleotide ribosomal RNA is filed under the name uncultured bacterium. RNAcentral's name for it is "bacterial SSU rRNA". It matches the Rfam family "Bacterial small subunit ribosomal RNA", at positions 527 to 896 of the family's 1533-position model. The record is from RNAcentral.